GUUAACUUUCAUUUGAUUCAUCUAUAAGUCUUAUCCUUCUAACAGGAUCUACAAAUCAGAUGAAAUUCCUGUUUCAUUUUUUAAUUUCUUUUUUUGAAAUAGAAUGCUUAAUGAACGUAUAGGUUAUGUAUGGCAUAUGACAAUAUAGUAUGCGAAUAAUUAAAAAAAUUAAGAAUAUUUGAAAUUUUCUUUUUUUUAUUUGUAUAUAUAAUUAUAAUAUAAAUUAAAAAUGGAAAAAAAGCAAAAUCAAUCAAUUUUAUUAUAUCUAGUUAUGAAAUUGAUUUUCAGUUUCCUUUUAAUUUACUUUUAAUUUACUUUGUGAAAACGGGAAACUGUAUCAUUAAUAAAAUUACUCAAUAUGUCGAUUAUUUAAUAACGUGACAUAAAGUCGUGGCGGAAAAUUACGAAAGAGAAUUACGAGCCGCCAAAGAUAAUCAUCGAUCGGCGGACCAUAAUGCUAUAAGACGGAACUGGAUUAACCUCGAACGGUAUUUGUAGAGGCUCGAUCGCAUGUAUAUACUCGAAGUACCGUUUCGCCGUAUACCGUAACGCCGCGUGUUGUUAUAACGUAGUAAGUAGUUCAGUCAAGUCCCGCUUUCAACUUGCGAAGAAAAGUUUAUUCGUGGCACCGCGUGUUACAACUACAUUCGUCAUCUACGGUUUAACGCUUCGGUCGUCUUGUGAAAAAAUAAUGAAACUGCGCAGGCUUCAACCGCUCGAAAGAUAAAACGAUAGAAAAAGAUGCAAUAAAUUCGACACACGCUUGAAGCUUGAAGCUUUAAGAAAGAGAUAAGAAAAAAUUAUCCAGAAGAGGUAUUGGAAGAUUAAAAACACUAUUGGUAAAGUUUUAAAGAUUUAUCAAGUGUGAAAAAAUAACGAUACUAUAAUUUAAAACUUAAAGAAUUAAUAUCUCACAAUCGAAAGAACAUUGUUUCUCGCGAUCAACCACAGAUGUGAAAGUAUUAAAUGGUUGCCUAGUAAACAGACCGCCUAUCGCGCUGGACCAUUGCAGCAGAAUGUAUAGUGGUGCACAAUACUCAGUUGCAUAGACGCGUAUAGUAACAGCAUCCUGCGGCCAGUCGGUAUUCAUGGCACGCUUUACGAUUCAAAUUCGUUAGACUAAUGGUGGACGUGUCGACCGAGACUCGCUCAAUUUCGCAGCGUAACGGCUAAAAGUUGUUGGUUACGCGGGUUACGUCCAGCCUUGAAUAAGGCUAAUUUACAGGCAGCGGCUAUACGCAACGAAGGAAAGUUGUAGAGCGCCACCUAGAAAUGAUGAAGCGAGAAGAGUCGUUCUGUAAUAUUGUGUAGUGUCUAGAACUUACAAGUGGUAAACACUUAAUUCGUGACAUACGCGUACUGUUGUUUCCCUAGUUUUCUAGGGACUUUUUUUGCAUAUUUCUUUGUGUAGGAUCUUAAUGGCAGCAGUGGAUUAAGAAUGAAAUGAUUACCAGAGUAUAGCUAGAUAAGAUAUUGAUGAGAUAAAUUGUAUAGGGUAGACUGAUGACAGUUAUUUGUCUACCAUAUUAUAUUCGAAGAGGGAUUUGCUUAUUUGUCUACUAUAUUAUAUUUGAAGAUUUCUAUAUUGUUAUAUUCAAAUUACUUUUCGCAAAUAAUUAUAGUAAAUCUAGAUCUGAAAAAAUUUUUGAAUUUUUUUAAAAUUUUUUAUUUUACAUUAUACAUAUUUUUUAAUUUACAAGUUUAUGUCUCUUUCCUAAUUGAUAAGUUAUUCUCUUAGUACAAGAGAAUGAUUUGUUUUUAUGAUGAGAUAAAUUAUGAGAUAAAUUAUGAGAUUAGAAUCCAGAUUCAAGUUCACUUUAUUAAUUUUUGAUUCUUUUUAGAAUUGAAGGGAAGAUUACGAGUUCAAAAUGAAAAAACUUUCUAAAUUUUUUCCAGAGUCUUCUUUCUUUUAGUCCAAACUUUUUACUGCGUCGUAAAACCGUGAUAGAGUUGUGUGAUGUUAACUUACGUUAUGAAUGUCCCGUAAUCUUGAAAUUUAACAGAGCAAUUGUAUGAUUUAUUUUUGCGGAUUUCGGAAAAUAUUUUCUUUUCUAGAAUUAUUUUAUGAAAUAAAAAUCCUUUUCAAAAAAAUCUAAGGAAAAAAAGAAAUAUAAAGAAAUUAAAUUUUUCCUAAUUUUCAUAUAAUAAUAUAAUAAUAAUUAUUAAUCAAACAAUAAUAAUCAUAAUAUAAUAAUAAUCAAACAAAAGAAAAAUUUCACGCUCUCUUCAACUUUGUAUUCAUAUUCCUUCAUAAUUUUUCGAUUCGUUGAUAGAAUUGCCCGAUAUUUGGCAUUUUAUCAGUCCGCUCCUCGUUCUCUAUUUAACGUGAAUGUAAUUGGAUCGAUUCCAAGGUUAAAGAAGUUUCGAGAUGACUAUCUUUUUCCCGCGAGUCCUCUUCAAAACAACGACAGAGAAAUAAUUUUAUUUUUGUAUAAGUUAUUAAAUUUUAUUGACUUUUUAAGUUAUAAUAAAUAAUUAUGUGUAGAAUAAUUAUUUAAAUUAUUUUUGAACAGUUUUCCAUUUGGAAUAAAUGAACGAAUAACUUUUAUCGUUUUAAUUACCGUUAUUAUUUGAACGUAGAAAUAUGUGAAAAAUAAAUUACAUGAAUUAGCUAUAUUAAAAAAUAAAAAAUAUUAUAAAUCUUUUCAUAUUUUACAUGAUAUUAAAUGAUAUUUAUAUACAUAUAGCAUCCAAAUCGUGAUCCAAGAAUCAUUACAAUAUUCAGUUUCAAUCUUAAAUUUAACCAACAACCAAAAUAAGGAUCGAUGAGUUAAUAAUACUUCAAUUCUACCUAUCAUGAAAUUCGAAUAGUGAAUAGCUUAAUAAAUAUCUACAAAAAAAGAACUUGUAUGCAACAUGAUAACAAAUAAGUUUUUUAUCUUAAAAUGUAGAUAGAAAUGUAUCCUUGAAAUAUCAAUGCUAGAAAUCUUAUGCUACAUGCAAUUUUGAACAUUGCAAUUUUCAAAAGCUUAUUUUAAUUGUCUAAUUGUUCUUUAAAUUAUGCGCAUAACUAUCAUUCACCAACCUUUUUUCACUUUGUAUUCUUCGUUGAAUAUUGAACGGUAUAAUAAGUCCGCUGGAAACAGAACCUCGAGUUUUUUUUCUUUUCUUCCCCUUCUCAACGGACAUUCGAAGGUCCUAGAAAAAAGGUAGAGGAAGUGGCAGUUAUACCUAUGAUCGAGAUAUAGCUGCCACUUCCAGAAGAAAAGAGAGAGAUGACGAUUGGGUAAGAGAGAAAAAGAAGUGGAUAAAGUGGCAGGGAGGGAGGUGGAAGGCAGGCCCAAGGCAUUAACGAAGAAAGCUUUCCGAGCGAACGGUUAAGUUAGCCUGGAAUUUAUGGCCGAGUCGAAUCAGACGUGAAACACCCACGGCGAAAAGAGGAAAUCAAUUCGAGAGCCCUCCCGACUGGUUCUGGCUCGAACGGAAGUCGCGAAUCCGACUGUUCCCGCAGGCAGAAACGCGUCUCCUCUCCCCCUUCCUCUCUUUCUCUCCCUUUCUCCUCCACCUUUCUCUCGUGGUAUCCGGAGUGUGUGGUAGACUCGCGCGUUCCAACCUACAGAAGAUUACCGUGAGAUCGUUCGAAAGAAAAAGAGAAGGGUAUUGGUCACGAAGAGUCAGAUUUAAACGCUAGGGAAUUUCGUCUAGUUAUGAAUCUGGCUAUGAUAUUCGAACGUUUUGAAAAGUCGAUGAUCGUCGUUUUCGAUCGAGAAUAUCUGGAGGGAAUUUGGUUGAUUGAUAGGAAAUGGAAAUACGAAAUUGAUGUUGGGGAAUAAAUUUUAUAUGACUGAUGGAAGAAUAUAGUUUGAAAUAAAUUGUGAGAUAAAAAUCUUAGGUGGAAGUGAUGUUUGAUACACGAAGUUUAUUUAUAGAAAAUAGUUUGAAAAUUAGCGAUGUUAUAUCGAUGUUAUAUCGAACGUUACUUGGUUACGUUAAUUUUUUGAUAGAGCUUGAGCACUGUUUAAUUCGAACGAUAGAAAUGGAAAUCGAGAUACGACCCAAUUCGGGCAAAAAAAAGCAGUAACGAUGAUAGGAAAAAAGUUUAACGAACUUAGCCAAGCACCGAAAGUAAUUCGAGGAUGAUUAAGUUUUUAAGUUUCCGCACGAUAACGUAGUAUCAUCGAGCCAAAUUUUCUUUUUUUCUUUUAUCUUCUGACUUCUUUUGGUAUACUAAAAUUUUCUUAGACCUUCAAUUUCUUCUCAAGGAACCAAAUAAUUUACAUAUUAUAUCUUCCCAGAUUCGCUGAGAAUCUGUUUACGCGAUAAAGUUUCUUUUUAGACGUCAACAAGAUUUUGAAAUUAUCUGACAAGAUAUUAACUUUUUGGUUACAUUUGAAUUAAAUUAGUCGUGCAUAUUUUAUGUCAUAAAACGACGAGUCUAAUCGAAUUGAACAUGCAGAAAAUUUAAACUUAGACGUCGUCAAUUGAGUUUAAUACCAAAAGAUGAUACAUAUCAUCUUUAAGCAUAAAAUUAAAAGCGAAACUGUCUGCAAACAUGCCAUUGUUAUUUGCCUGAAUGGUUUGAAAAAUAUCAAUUCUUUAGAAUUAUUAUAAUUCUAUAUCAAUAAUUACAAUAUCAAAAUUUAUAUAUUACGGUAUAAUUUUAAUAAAUUUAUUAAUCAUCACAUUUUCAAUUAUUUUAAAUUCGCUUACAAUUUUGAAAUUUGACCUAUCUAUCAUCUUUUUUGAUAAUACGCCAAUAUAAUCGUAAAAGAUUAUUUAAUAUGAAUCAAAAAAAUUUUCUUUUUUACAUCAUACCAAGUAGAUGAUGGGAUUGCGUGGAUCAUUGAUAAUCUUUGGUGAAAAAUGAGUUAAUCACAUGCGUGAUUAUAAGUGUAUUGAUUUAUAAUAUUAUACACGUUCAAGUUUAGUCCGAACGAAAUGAUUAUCGCGGAUCAAUGAUGAUAUGUUACGUAAUAUAAAUACGUUUAUUACACCUGUUAAUGAUACACACAGUUAAUAAUAUCGUCAACUGUUCAACGAUAAAGCGUUGUUUAAUAAUGGAGAUACGAGGAUAGAAAGUUCGUAGUUGAUAAUCGACGAUCCAAGAUAUAUAAGUAAGUACGUUAUAAGUAUUAAUGAUAUAUGAAAGUUUAAUGAUAGUAUGAAGUGUUUGAUGACAGUAAAUAUUCCUUGACAGGAAAAAUAUUAACUGACCCGAAUAUUCUCUAGGAUUUAUCUUUAGUGAACCAUAGGGGGUGUAUUAAUUGAUAAAAAUGAAGAUUAAUGACAAUGUUUAAUAACUAGUGUUUUAUUAAUUUAUUAAAUUGAUACUUUUAAGAUAUUUUUCGAUUUCUUUGUUUUACAUUUAAAUAAAAAUAAAUAUUGAAAAAUAAAUGAAAUUGCUGAAAUAAUGUUAUUAGUAGUUAAUUUUUGAUGUUAUUGAAAGAAGGAGAUUUGAUGCUGAAUUUUGUAGAAAAUUAUAAUAUUUACAAAUAUAGAUACAUGUAUAUUUUAAAAUUAAUUAUAGAAUUGCUUAGAAUUCAUGUACCGUGAUAACUGAAAUAAAACGUGAAAGAAUUUUUUUAAGCUUUUACAAGUUACGAUUUUAAAUUAAAGACUGAGUAUGUAUUUAAUCUUCUUGUUUCGCUCUUUUGUUUGUUACAUAUGUAAACUUAGUUGCAUAGUUGUAUUCGUUACUUGAACACCGACAGAUGAAGAAUGUUAAAAUAUUGUACGUAACUUCUGCAUAUCUCGCGUUAAGCGUACAUUUUGGUUGUAUAAAUUAAAUAAUUAAAUGUAAGUCAGAAUUGAAAUACAACUUAGUUAAAAAUGCUGUCGCUGUCUCUCUCUCUCUCUCUCUCUCUCUCUCUCUCUCUCUCUCUCUCUCUCUCUCUCUCUCUCUCUCAGAUCAAAAGCUAAUUUAAAUAACAAAAGUGACCGAAUAUUUUUAGCAAAGUAAUAUGAAAUUUAAUUAAAAUUAUAUUGACAAUAAAUAUGUAAAUAUGUAAAUAUUUUUAUUUUAAAAGAAAAUAGCAUAGAGAUACACGCGAAAACAAUCUUAUUUAUUUAUUUAUUUAUUUUUCGUUUUGAGUAAACAAGUUGAAAAUAUAAGAUGAAAUUUGUCAUAUAAAGUUUAUAUUUUGAGAAAAUUCACAUUAAAUAUUUGUCUCGAAUAUUUACAAAACAUAAAUAAAUAAAUAAAUAAAUUGCGAUAAAACGAAAAAGACAUCAAAUAUUUUAAAUGCAUUAAAUUGUUGCAAAAAUUAAAUUUCAAAAUGAUAAAAUUUUGAUGUAAUUUCAAGGUUAUCUUUUUAUCAAUUACUUGGCGACAAAAUUACUUACAAUCGAUAAAAAUGACCGAAUGUGUUCCGGCACAUUGGCGAUUCUAUUCGGUAAAAAUGUGACCGAGAAAUUGCGAAUCCGUGAAAUUUCCUUCGCUUGCAGCUUCGAUGACACCAACGAGGAUCGCCCUUACAAAUAGGGUCGACGUUAAUCCAACCGUGAAGAUAAUCGUUUUUCCGUUAGGGACGCCGUUGCUUCUCUUCCGGUAUGUUGCAUCGACGUGUCAUGUAGAUCUGAUUACGUGUGUUCGCAUACAAUAUGGUUUUGAAUGAUCUUAUUGAAGUUCUAGAUGCGUAUAUAAUAUGUGGAAUUACUUUUAAUAUGUACAUCCAAAACGGAAAAAAUAGAAAAAUUCUCUGUAGAUAUUUUAAGAUUUCUCAUAAUAAUAAGAACGAUUCCAAUUUUUUGUUUUUAUUUUUGUCGUAUACUCAAUAAAAAGAACAUGAAAACAAUAUCAUGAAGAUAUAAUAUCGUGAAUGCUUUGUGAAAAGAUAGUAAUUUGACAUAGGAUAAAUUAACUUGUAUUUAUCCAUUAUUAUAUUUCACUUUUUAUAAUUUAUAUCAAAUUUGCAAAAGAAAUAAAAUAAUAUGGAUAAUAUGGAAUAAAAUGGAUUCAUGAUGCCUUGAAUUUGAAUUUUUUAUAUUUAUAAAUAUAUAAGUAAAAUUAUCAAUAUCGUUAAAAAUACUUAUUAUUUAUGAUUAAUAUAUUCAUUUUAAAUAUCUGGUCAGAAUUCUUACAAUUUUACAAUAAUAAUAAAUUUAAAUUAAUAAUUGAAUUAAAAAAAAUGUUACCCUUUUUGAACGGUAACGCAUAUAUAUCUUCAUAAUAAUUCUGAUUCACUUUCAGUACAUAGAGUCUACUCAUCGAAGAUUAAAGACAACCCCGGAAAAUCUAAAAUAUCCUAUAUAAUUCACUUAUAUUAUCAUACAUGUAAGUGCAAAAAGACGAGACCUAUGCUCUGACCACGGUAACAGAGAUGUUCGCUAAAUUUCCUUAUCGAUCGUCCACCGGUCGGUGACCCCUGUAGCAAAAGCGAAUCAUCGACUCUGGGGACGUUAUAAGCAACUAUGAAUUCGUGUUGGCGUUUCCAUAGGUUAUACUAUACAUAAAAGAAAAAUUGUCGUUACAAUCUAUCAUUGAUCCUAUUCUCUUCUCGUCUUUCGACGUAAAAAAAAAAAAAAAAAAAUAACAGAAAGAAAAACGGAAUAAAAAAAAACCUUUCAUCCAUUUCGCGAACUUCGUUAAAUGGUCCACGAUAAAUGUUUACUAUACACAGCGAUUCUGGAUCGUGUUUCGCUUCAAACUCCAUAGGUUCGUUUCUAAAUAGACGUUCGUCCCUUUUCUCUCUUUCUUUCUUUUCUUUUUUCGUUUGCUGUUUUCCGUAUUUUUCCCUUCUCCUUUUUCAUUUAUUUUUGUUUUUAUUUCUCUCUCUUUCUUUGUCCAUGUUACCCGUAAAUUUCUGUCGGUAUUUUCGGGAGGCGUGCACGAGAGGACCGCGCAUGCGCAUUCACGAUCGAAACAAUGCCUCUAUUUCCAUCGUGUUUCUGGCGCAACCGGCUUUUCGUAAAUUCGAGCCAUUAAAUAUGGACGGACACGUCUACGUUUAUGGGGAUACGCGGUUUGGAUCGAUUGUACUAUCGAGGAUCGAAUCUACAGCAGGAGGCCGGUUUGUCAAUCGGAACUGUCUUCUCGUGUCUCGCUUCGCAUUCGAUCAAUGACAUCAAAGUUUAUGCGUGCGUCGGAACGAAAGCUCAAGGUUCGAAGAGGCGUUGAAAAGGGACGGUCGACGUCAAGUAUACCGAGAAGCAAUUAGGCCGCUCCCUAAGGACUGUACAAGAGGCAGCUAAUCUCGAAUCUCGACUUUUUUAAAAGACCGCGAUCAGAAGAAUUGACUUGGUUCAGACUUUCGACAAGCCACCAGAGAUCUUUUGACGCUUUAAUUGUACGUCAUAUAUGUAAUGAAUUAUUAACCUCGUAAUGUGUCUGUAUUAGCAUUCAUAUGUUAAUUAAUUUAAUUAAUUAAUUUAAUUUACAUAAAUCAUACCUUUAUAAUUUCAUAUAAAUGACGUUUUACAAUUUCUUACGAAUAGUAAGAAUUCAUUCAUUCACAUCGAGGAGUAAGUAAUUUAUUAAAGAGAUUAGAUCCAAGACUUUAUUGAAGUAGACAAAAAUUAAAUCUUUAAAAAAAUAACAAUAUAUUAACAUAUUUAUAAUCGAUAAUUUGAUGUUAACAAUGUAAUUGAAAUUCAAUUUAGAAUAUCAAAUUAAAGAAUAUCGAAUUUAAGAUGAGGUUAAGUAAAUUAUUGUAUUUCUUGUAUUUCUUUGUGUGUCACGAAGUUAUAAUAGUUUAAAAAUAUAUAAUUUUUUAAUCAAAAUUUAACGAUCUUUUAAUAUUGAUAAGGAUUAUAUUACAAUUUACUUCUACUUGAGAAAGUUGACGCAAGAUGGUGCGUGAUAAUAAUUAUAAUGAAGUUUCAGAAAGAUGACGCUAGUGUAGCUGAAGUCAGCGAAAUUUAUAUUCAUGGCAGUACAUUCCGUGCUGUGUUAUUGACAUUCGAGAAAAAUACAGAACCACUAUACACUAUUUCCGAGCAAACCAACAUAUAAUACGUUAUAUAAGCUCAUUGGCAAUACCCUUUCGACAGCAUGAUGUUGUUUCAAGGAGAGAUAGAGCAGCUCUGUGUGUUUGCAUCGUAUGUCGCAUAGUCGGGCAAUGUUUCGGUGACAUAACCUGAAUGGUACAGUACAUAGCCACAUAACCAGUUUUAGAGGAUGACGCUCUGUUUACCAAUCAUCUUAGAGAAGACAUGGUUGUUCUGUUUGAUUAUAGUCCGAUAUCGUUCUCAAACAUGUCUCUAAUGCAAGAGACAAGAAACCAGACAGGGAACUUAUUUUGCACGGGCUUCCCCCGGAGAGAGGAAUUCACCUUUUUAAGCCCCCAAAAAGAUGCAAGACUCCGUACGAGCAGAAACCAAUUUGAAGGCUCCAUUUCGGAAGAGCACGCUUUUAGGUCAAGUGGACUCGGACACCGGAAGCUGAGCGGGUUAUCUUCGUUAUCUGGAGGGAUAAGACGAAGAUUAAGUCGAUACAUGUGGAACUUUACGAUCGUAUUUUGGAACUUAGGAUUUUGGAACGAGUUUGUUUAAUUAUUUGAAAACUUUUGCCAUUAAUAAUGUUAUCAAAAUCUUAUCAAUUAUCAAUAUUAUUUAAUCGUAUGCUUUUUAGGGUUCAUUUUCAUUCCAGAUCUAGUAUUUUUCUAUUGUUAAAAAAUUCUUUAAGUUUGAAAGAUGAAGACUUGAAAGAUGAUUUCUCGUUUCAUUUCAAACAAAUUUAAAAUCGAGAUAUUAAUAUUUGAAGAUCAUUAAGAGGAGCAACAUCUGAAUCACAGACAAGAAAAUCUGAAAUUAUAACAUGACUUAAUAAAUAUUUUUUGAAUAUAUAAUUUUGAACAAUACAAUGGUAAGAUAAUUUAUUUAAAUUUGAAACAUAUUAUAUUUGCGAAUUUCUACACGUCCAUUAUGAGUCUCUAAUUAUCUAUGUACGAUUGUUACAUUCAGCAUUAAUUCAACGAAUGUCUCGUAUCAUGCAUAAUCAAUGACUACUUAUAUAAAUUCCAACACGUACACAUUUGAAUCAGCAACUCGUUGAAACUUUUAAUAUUUAAAAGUUUAAUAUUUAAAUAUUAUUUCGAAGAAGUCAAGGUUAUGAUUUAAACGUUGCGUUCAUUAAUUAAAGAAUUUAAUUUAAGAAUUCUGUUAAUAAAACAUCAUCAUAAAUUAUUAUAAAUUAAUGCACGUUAUUAAAAAGAAUUAAUUAUUUCUUUUUUUUAAAUAUAUUUCUCUUAAUUCCAAGUUUAAUGUAAUUACGAAGUUAUGCAGUAUUUUAUUAGACGAAUAGAAUUUUUUAAUGCAACAUAAUUUCAAGAAUUGAAAACAAUAGAAUAAAAUAUAUGUACAAUACAAUUUUCACAUAAUUUUUUGACCUGAUUAUCUUAAUCUUACGAACUAUGAACUCUGGUGUUGAAUAUUUUUCUCGCUAAUCAAGGAAAUUAAAACGCAAAUAUAUAUUUGCAAAUUGUAAUGUAAAGUUUCUCUAUGUAAAGUUUCCACACAGGAUUAAUAUUUCACGAAAUUUUAACCGAUGUUCGUGGAUUAAAUUUUCAUUUAUAUCACCAUCACGCGUUGGAUACAGAUAAAAAUAUUUAUACCAUGGAAUAACCAUGGAUUAUAUUCUCCACCGCGUUGCAUUUUUCAAUGAAGAUUAAACACGCUUAUACAAAAGAAAAAGAUGAUGCAAUACGUUUAAAUUAAUCCUUGCACAAUUCACUUAAAAGAAAUUAAAAAGAUAUUCAAAUAAAUAUCACGAUUUAAAAAAAAAGGAUUAAAUAAUUUAUUAUAAAUAAUAAAUCGAUUUAAUUUCUCAUUAUGCGCAUAAUGCGCAUAAAUAUUAACAAAUAUUGAUAAUUUUAAUAUUUGAAAUUAAGAAAUAUAAGUAAUUUUUAUCGUAUUUCGUAUGAAUAUCUACUACUAUCGAUCUUGACAAAACCAAUGUUCCUAUGAUUACAACCUUAACUUCCGUCAAAAAUGACGUCCAUUGCUACGUCAAUGUUGCCCGAACAUUUGCGUGACCGUACGAUAUAAUGAAUAAAAUAUCGGUUAAUCAUCACGAAGACCUUUUAUUUUCUCUAUAAUUCUGAGAAUGAAAUAUUUAAGAUUCGUCGAUCGAAAUAGAAUAUUACUAUUUGAAAUCGGGUAGAAAAAUCGUCUGUUUAGUUGGUUUUUUGUCGAUUAAUACGACGUGGCGAAUACACUAGCUUUUGACGCAUCAUCGACAAUACGCGCCAUUUCCAUCUACCUAUCCCGUACCGCGCUUCGUUUGUUGCCGGAAAUUGAAAUUUUCAUGUCGGUCUGCGCCACGGAUCCGAAAUACUAAUGGAUCUGAAAUAGCGAGAAUAAAAUGGUUGCGCGUCGGUGCCUUAAUCAACGAGCUCCCCUAUCGCUUUUUUUAUUUUUUCUCCUUUCCUUUUUCUCUUUCUUCUAUACUUUUUUUUAUUUCUCUUUUCCUUUCUUUUCUCUCUCUCUCUCUCUCUCUCUCUCUCUCUCUCUCUCUCUCUCUCUCUCUCUCUCUCUCUCUCUCUCUCUCUCUCUCUCUCUCUCUCUCUCUCUCUCUGUGGUCUGUUCGGAAACGAACAUGGCGGUGAAACGAAAGCACCGAUAUAAAACGCACAGUUAAUUCUCGAUUUCGGUGGUGAACCGUAAUCCAACGGGGCGAGAGAUCGAGCUUCAUUUCCGGUUACGGGUCCGGGCAAUCAGGAAUCCGGCUAAACAAAGACCAGUCGGCAAUUUGGCCGAGAAAUCUUUCGGGUCGGUUGUGAACUAACCACGGAUAACUCCAUUACGAAGAGAGAAAACGAAUGCCGUGUUGAGGUGGAAUGGAAUUUCACUUAGCUUCGAAAUACGAAGCUGAAACGUGAAAGAGUUACAUUAAGAAUGUUUAGAAAAGAAAGUUAAAAGUGAUCAAAAAGGAAAAGGUAGGAAGAGAUAGGAAAAGGAUAGGUUCGUAGAUAUAUUGGUAUAGGUUAUGAUAGAAGUUAUCUCGAUUUUGUUAAUAUCGCGAAUGGCAUUUCUAACGAGGAAUUUCUAGCAGGGUUUCUCCUUACGACACGUUUCACUUGUCACACGUUCAUCUUCUGUCAGUCAAAAGUAUACAGUAAUGUUGGAAUAUAUGGUCAUGAACUUGUUCGCUUAUAUAGUAUUCCCUACCACUUCCUGAUAUUACUUGCACUUCAGCGCCAUCUAAGAUCUGCAUCGACAAUGAUUUAAUUAUUAUUUAAUUAUCAGAACAGGAAAAAUAUAAUUCUUCUUUUAUAUUUCUUACGAGAUUUCUUUAUUACUAUUAUUACAAAAUUACUUUAAAUUACAUGAGAUACGAUUAUAUUUUAUUUAAUUCUUUCUAAUUAUAAAUAAAUAAUAAAUUACUCUCCGUUUCACUCUCAUCAUUGGCGCAUGCGCGGUAGAACGAGCCAGUGUUAAUCUCGAGUAUAUUUAAACUUAAACUAACCUAUUUUGUGACUUAACCGUAUUAUUUCCGCUAACUGUACGCAAUUUCUUCGCGAUCAAUCACUGAUCACCCACUCUUCGUUUAAAAUAGGAAGGAAAUUGAUGCUGUGUUCACAGCUCCCCGAUUUCUAUUUACGAAGUUUAUUCGACUCGAUAAAUGCCGAUUUGCAAUGACGACCGAGUAUAGCCGACUUCAAAGUGGCCUAAAGUCACGGCCGCCUCUCGUUGAUACGAUUUUUUUCGAUUCUGCCCCCCCAGUCAGCCUGCAAAUAUUUUGAUUGGAUCCGAACGAGCAUCAACAUUCCCGCGGGUGGUCCCCCAUGCAAAUUGUCUUCGUAAACGUUCUCCUCGAAAUAACCGGUAUGUUUUUCCCCAGUAAUGAACAUUCCAACCUCGGCUAAAUGUCGUUGGGUUACUCGACAAAACUAUAAAGGGAGGAAGUGAGAAAAAGUGACAAACAAGAGAGAAUAACACAAGCUUGGAUCCCAUGCGGGGAUAUUCUGGUUACCUCCAGGAAAGCACAUUGAAGUUCCAUUUCUAAUCCCGAUGUAACAAACGGAAUAUAACCUCACUCCGCAAGUUUCAAAAACAGUACACGUUCUACAAACUAAAAGUUCAAAGUUUUCUACAGUUACUCUGUCGUUGUAACUAUGUUUUUUAAGCUGUUUGAAGUUCUAGUAGUUUCUCCUUUCGGUAAUAUUUUUAAGCUAUUCUCUACGGAAAUCUUAGCAGAACAUGACCGUGGUAAUACGAGUGUCGCGCGAAGCCAGACGGGUUGCAGAAGGCAGGCGUUCCUCUCUGGCUUAUACCGAUGAAUACAUGCUAGACAGAGAAAUAUAGAGGGAGAAGGUCGAACUGGGGUGUGUAUCGGAGAGAGAAUCACGGACUUUGCUAGAAAGAGUAGGGGAUGAUGGUCGGAGGAAGAGAGAGUGAGUGAGGUAGGGAGGAAGAGAGGGAGGGGAGCACGGUCGAGCAAACGCGGUACGAUCGAUCGGUACUCCAGCAGCGGGGGGUUCCCCGUAUAUAGACGAGUUCUUCUGCUCCCUGCACCACCACACCCACGCUUUCUGCCUUCUUUCAUCCUCCGCAUCGCUCAUUCUCUAUCUCUUUCCAUCUCUCUAACACUCGGUCUGCGUCAUUCACAGUCAUUCGGUUUCUUCUCUUCGUAGCUCCUCGCUCGUAUUACUUUUUUCCUUACGACGAUUCUUUCGUUUCAUCUCUGUCUCAUUCGUUGCUCCUCCAAGUUCUGUGACGAACGACGGACAUAAGCAGAAGCAGCUGUUCCAACAGUCGCUUUGCUUUUCUCUUUCGACGUCUGCUGCCAAACCCUCUGGACAUCAUCCCCGCUCCCCACAACUUUCGUCUGUGGCGUUCCCAUUUUCUCGGUUCGCCGGAGAAACCUCGUCUUACACUCUCUUUCCCCUCUCGUUUUUCGUUACAUGUGCGUGUAUAUAUAUGUGUGUGCGCGCUACCGAGGAAUCGUAACGAAGUCGUAAUGAAAGACCCUUACGGUCUCGCGUGUCAUAAAGUGUGUAGAGGGGUUUAGAGAAGGAAAAAAAUGUUCGCGGCGGAAAGUUGAAACGUUGCCCGUCUAAUUUCCUAUUCGUUAGAGGGGAGAAGUUGGAUAGAUCUGUUCCUCUCGACGAUUACUAAAUUUUGCGGUUUUCUUGCUUCGCCGUCUCAAUGGUUUCUGAUUUUGUCCAACGAGAUGCAGCAGCGCCAUCAUAUGAUGAUUUAUCACUAUUAUAACAAGAUGGUUUUCAUUUAACUGUUGGAAAAAAAAAUUAAACGAAUUGUACGCGGAAUGGAAUACUUGGUUACCUAAUUGGUUAGAAUUUUAAUACAAAUAUAACAGUUAUUAGGGUAAUGAAAGUAAGAAACAAUUAGUCAGCGUGAUUUUUGAAAAAUUUAUUUACCACGAGUUAAAUUAGACGCGGAUUUAAGUAAUUAACAUCGAAAAGAGAAUCUCUUCGUUUAUCUCCUUUAAUUCCUUACAUUAAUACAUUCUCAAGAUAAAAUCUGAUCACUUUAAGAACAUGUUAUACACUAUAUCCCUGUUUCUAUGAUCUAUAAAACAAGCUUCUACAAGUUGAAAUAAAUUUAAACCAAGAAUAAAGAAAUAAGAUAAAUUUAUCCAUAUAAAGUUUUUUCUUGAUAAAAAUAAAAAAAAGAAGAUUAAAAAAGAUAACGAAAAGAAAUUUUUAUUUUUAUAUCUUAUCAAGAAAUUAUCUUUAAAGAAAAAUAUACAGAAUAAAGAGAAAUCGCGAAAGAGACGAUCGUAAACGCAAGAAAUUUGUUUCCAGUCGGUCGGAUAAGGAAGAUGUAUGUAAUGGCUUCUGAGAGUGUCCGUUGACAGUGGAUUCGCCGAGAUUGUACGGAAUCUUCUCCCCGUUCCACUUUGGAUUUCCGUAGUCGUAUCAGCGGCUUAGAGACUAAUCCAUUUACGCUUUAUUGGUCGAGACCGUGUGGCCUUUGGCCGAACGAAUUUCCGCCAUCGCCACCUUCAACCCGCCGCCAUAGUAUAAUAACACUCUCGCGUCGCCCGGAACAAGGAAACGCUGUUUGUUCCUUAUUAUCCUGUGAAAUAUUGGUCCGAGAGCCGCAUACCGGUCGGUAAAAGCUCAACACGAUACGUUCGGUCGCCGACUAAAGUACGGGUGUCGCAUUUAUAAAUAAUUCCACGGUUAUUCAUUUGUGACAAGAUCGAGAUCGUUCGCAGCAAGGAAUGAAUAUCUUUCUUUUUUAAGAUAGCACUAGAAAAAGAAAUAUAGUUAUAUUUUGUAGUCAAUUUACUUUGAAUUAAAACAAAGAAAAAAAUCAAAGAAGAAUAUUUAAUUAAAUAAAGCAUUUCCUCUUUAAUGCUGACAUUUUUUUAUUUUUUUUAGAAUUACCUUAAUAAUCUGAAAUAUCAUAGCAAUAAAUUCUUCAUUAUUAAACGUAAGUUCUUCUAAUUAUAGUAUUUAAUAAUUAAAAAGUUGCAUGGAUUAUGACUAAUCUAUCCUUUUUAAUUUCUAAUCAUACUAUUAAAUCAAAUUUGUUUUAUUAUUUGAAUAUCGAAAGUACCGGUUAUUCUUCGAUUGAUCGAACACAGUGACGGUACGAAACGUUUCGUUACCGGAAGUUCUCCAGCAAAGGCUUGGAAAUAUUCUUAGAAAGUUCACCAUGAAAUCGAUUGAACUCUGUGAACAUAUAUAAGACAAGAGAGAAGUUUUUGACACGAAUCCCAUCCAACUAUUUCUCUUUGUUCCUUAAUUAAUACAAUAAUAACUUCGAUCGUUCUCGAUAGUCGCUCGAACUUUUUGAUCGUUCUAAUUGAAUUUUUUUCCCUUCUCUCUCUCUCUCUCUCUCUCUCUCUCUCUCUCUCUCUCUCUCUUUCUCUAAUUCCUAUAUAACCAAGUUUGACCUUAUUCGACACAUUUGCAGUUUCAAUAGCGAUACUUAUCGAAGCGAAACGAUGACAAGUCGCGUCAUAAAAUAUUACCGAUAUUAUCCUUUGAAUUUUAUUCUUUUCAAGCGGAGAAGAUCGAUGUUUGCUUAGACAUCACUAUGACCUCUGGUAGGCAGGAAUAAAAUAUACUUAUAUGUAUAUAUAAUUUACAUGAACCAUGAAAAUAGUAAAAUUAUAAAAUUUAAAAAUGAUAGAAAUGUGAUAAUAUAAGAACUUGAAAUUUCGAUUAAAGCCAUGAAGAUGAAAUUUGUUAUACGAAGUAUAAUGUAUAAUUCUUGUACAUUAUAGAUAUUUAUACAUAUAGAUAUUAUACAUCACGGAAACCACAAAAAUUUUUUAACGAUUUAAUCACACCACAUUAAUAUGUUAAUUUUCUCGAAUAACUUUCUAUCAACUUUCUCCAUCACAGAUUAUUACUUCGGUUAUUUAUAUAUAUUACUCAUAUAUAUUCGAUUACUCAUAUUUAUCGUAUAUAUGAAAGUUGAAUUAAUGAAAGUAUAAAAGUUAAAACUAUUUUUUUUUUCUACUCAUAUUAAUCCAAUGCUUAAAAUAAUCAGGAGAAAAUGUAAAGCAUAAACAAUAAAUCAUUGUUUUCCGACAGAGGACCAACGAAAGCCACUUAAAACUCAAUCGAUACUCACGUUCUCGUAAUUCGAGUGGCUCCGUGAUCGCGGCUGGAACGUCGUUUAUUCCUUGGUUCGAUUACCGAAGCUAAGUGUCGGUAGCUGUAUUAGCCUUAUUUCCGUCAGGAACUUGGGAAAGGUCGGGUCUAGGUCGCAUGCCUAGAUCUGCGCGAGCGAUCGAGCACACCUCUAUGUCGUAACAUCGACUUUUAAUGAAACGUCUCGAAUGCUGCGCCGCACCGCGGCAUAUUGCACGAUCUAAAGGUUACUCUCGCGCAUUGAAGUUCGAUUUAGGUUAUAUCGUUGGAUAGAAAUUCUUUAGAUUAUUUGUAUCAUUGAAGUAUUAAAUUAUGGUAAAAUCAUUGUCAAUUUCGAUUCAAGUUUAUCAUAGUUUCUAUAUAAAGUUAUUUCAUUAUUGUACAAAUUUAAUAUUUAUUGACUCGACACUGUGAGGAAUGUUUUGUGACUUUUCUUUUUCUUGGAGGUUAUGUCGUGAGAAAGGUUGGCAACUUUGUGUUUGCGUGCGCAUCGUGAUGUUCGGCAGUGAAAAUUGAGAAACUAUAUUCGAUAAAGAUAUUUUAGAAAGUAUAUAUUUAAAUUAACAAUAUUCUUUUAAUAAAUAUAUGUUCGAUACGUUGCUAUUUUAAAAUUAACAAAAUCUAAUGCAUAGAUUAUAAUGUUUUCUUUUUCAUCCUACAUUUUAGUAUUGAACAUUUUAGUAUAUAACCAAAAAAAAAAAUGGAUAUUGCAUGUGUGAACAUCCUCAAUCAACUGAUCUUUUUUUUUUUCUUAAUAUCCGGCGAUCAGUGUUACACGAUGAAUACAAGUUGCUUGCACGGUUCUUUUUCACCGCCAUGAUAGUAAUUCGCAAGGUGUCGAUGUUGGAGUAAAAAAUAUAUAGUUUAGAAAGUUUGAAGGCUUCGUGCUUGAAAUAUUUAUCAGAGACUUAGCGAGAUUUGUGUGCAUUUAUACAUGAACAGAAGUCGAUUGAUACACAUUUCCAUAUGCACCCAUGUAGAAGGUAAUCGGCUAAUAUAGGAUCUGAUAGCGCAUAUUAUUAACGCGAUUUACCAAAGGAACAUGCAUAUUCACGGUUCUUUGAUCUAUCAGACACACUAAGCAUUCCAUGAAUAUUUAUGUUCGCACAAUUCACUUGCGACUUGAUAUUGCAAACAAGUGUUGUAAAUUAAGUUACUACCUAUAUAUAUAUAUAUGUCUCUAUUUGCAAUCAAAAUGUUUGCGUCUUUUUAAUAAUAUAUACGAAAUUUUUUAAUGUUGUAUAACAUAAUCACAACAUAUAAAUUUUUUUCUCUUUUAUAAUAGAUUUGUUUUCAUAAAUAUUAGAAUAUUUGCUAAUCUCGUAUAAAACGUGACAAAUAUUGUAAUAUAGGGGCGUGUGAAAUACAUGUUAAAAAAUUUAAGACCACCCCUGUCUUUGGUGUCGAGUUCUUGGACACUUCCUGUCGAUGAAGUGUUUCCACAGAAUUCGGGUCGCAAUCAGGACGUAUGAAAUUUAAUAUCGGAGCGUAUGUUACGGUGAGAGUCUAUCGGAUUUGCAUCUGAUAGCCGAAAAUUCUUGUCAGCGUUCUUUCAAUCUAUACCGUACCGAACCGAAUAUAAUAUGUCGAUAUUGAAUGUAAAAUAAAUAUAUAUUUUUUUAUUGUCAUUAAUAUAAUAUUCAAAACAUUAAAAGAUCGAAUAUUGAAUAAAACUUGGAUUGGAAUCGAAUAAUCAAAUCGAUUGUAGAAAAUUAAUUUAUUAUUUCAUAAGAUUUUAUUUUUCAUUAAAUAAAAUCAAAGCAUCAUGAUAACGAUACGAGAUAAAUUUAAUUUUAAAAAACAAUCUUUCCAUCAAAAUUUUUUCUUUUCUCUUUUUUUAAAUAUAAUUUCUAUCGUUUUUAAAGUAACUUCAAAAACUUUACGAAACAAAUUAUAAAUAUAAAUCUAACAAUCUAAUAAUUACAAGUUAAAUUAAAUAUGUAAAUUUUGUUACAAGAAAAUUUCUAUCUCCAGUUCUCUAAUGAAUAUAUAAAAGUCAUGUGAUAAUUAAUAUAAGUCAGUUCAAUAUCUGAAUCGCGAGAGCAAUUAUGUUUCUCCAUUGCUCCUCAUCAAUUUAUUAACUUAAUCUUCGGAAGAACAAUGUAAGUAUUGUCAAUGCGUGACAUUUCGUUCUAUGUAUAUAUAAUUUCAAUAGAAACGAACAAUGUAACUUGAAGAAAUUAAACAUCGAUAUUCGAAAGAUACGUGAAUCGGAGCCUAUACAAAUUAAUUAACUUCGUUCGAUCGUCAAACGAGGCUGCAUUGUUCUUUCGUGUUCGUAAAAAGAAAAAAAAAGACUUGGAAAAUGGUGGAAGGACAAUGAGGGUGCCACGAUAGAUCGUAAUAGCGACCCUCGCAAAGGUUUCUCUGAUUUUAACUUCUUCGCUCCGGAUAAGAUUCGGUUAAUCUGUUUAAAUUUCAAUCAAUGAGGACACGGUCUUAUAUAUCGGCCAAUCCUGUUAUAUAAUUAAGUAAUACAAUGUAAGCGAUUUUUUCGCAUGUUGAAAUGAAUUUCUAUGGUUUUUUUUUUAAACUUAUUUUAUGAUAUAUUUAUGUUUUAAUCAUGUGUCGUAAUUGUGUCGUUCUUCUUUUUUUUCCCCCUUUUUUGUUCGUUUUUUUGUUCGUUUUUUGUUCGUUUGUUCUACAAUGAAUAGGAAACAGAAAUGCCAUAAAAUUACAAGCUGUUAACCUUAAUUGAUCUCUGCAUUUUUGUCACCACGCAGUGCUUAUUAACAACACUUCUAGAUCAAGUACGCUUGUACUAGAACAUCGGACAAUUGUUUUCUCGUUAUCACAAUAAUUGAUAUUCAAAAUAAUAAUGAGGAAAUGAGUUAAAACAAAGAUUACCAUUUUUAAGAAGCUUCUAUAUAAUUACGAAAAUUCGCUAUACGUUUUGGAUAUUAAUAUAUAGUCUUAAGAAAUAGAUGAUUAAAAGUUGAAUUUUAUUUAAUUUUAUGGAAAAAAUUAGAAAUUUUAGUAGAGUUUCAAAAUCAGAAGACAUUAAAUAUUUCUCACUUUAAAUACAAUUGUAUAAUAAUUGCGUUAAGAUUAAGAUUUGAAUUAAGAUUUUUUUUUUCUAUAAUUAAUCUUUCAUUGUUAAACGGUCAAUAAAAAAGUGAUAAAAAAUCUUUGGGCGAAUACCAUUGUGUAUAUUAAUAAACAGAUGGCAAGUUGUCAAAUAGAAAGCUACAAAAUGUGAAAGAAUAUAUUCAUAGUGGAGAUGUAAUGGAUAGUUUCACAUGGGUAAAAAAAAUAUCGAUCGAUAUACGAAAUACGGAUUCAGGUCUCCAGGACAUUGGAAGCCAGCCAAAAAGUGAAACUACCAACUCUUCAGGUUGCCUAUUGGCCUAUUCGCGAUUAUUCGCGAGUGUGAUAUUUUCAAUUCGGAUAAUGGCACUGUUCUGGAGGUCGCUGGAAUAUUUUAACAAAGCCACAAUAGAAUUGAAAACACGUGACAAGUGAAAUCGAAUAAAUAUUUUUACUAUUAUAACAAAAAAUUCAAUUAAAAUUAUGGCGUUAUUUAUUUUUUUUUUUUAUAAUUACAAUCUUUUUUCACACUUUUAAAAUCUAUUUAGUUAUGCAGAAUCUUAUAAGAAAUUUUUUUUUUAUAUUAAUUUUAUUUUAUUUAUAUAGAAUUUUAAUAUAAAAGUCUAUGAAUAUUUUUGAAAUUUUAAAAGAAUCAUAAAUUUUUUCCAUUAUCUUCUGAAUGUUAUAAUAUAUCAAUAACGAUCGAAUGUCGAAUGGAAAUUUUUGAACUUUAGCAUAUGUUUACCGAGACUUGACACAUUCUUAUAGGAAAUGCAAAUUUUUUGCAUCAUCACCUUGAGGGAAAUUAUCGCUUGUUACGAAGUUUAAACCGGACUCGCCGCUGUUAGCAAGCGACGAGCUGAACAGAAACAUUCAUACCGGAUGGGACAGCAUUAGUAUUUAUUAACCUAAGGUCGUCCCCUAAUUGACGUAAUUACCAGCUCGAGAUAUUCCGUGAAGAUUGGGAAAAUUGCUUGUAUCAGUGAUAUAUACUCGAUUAUCGAGUCAUUAAUUAGCGUUGAAAUUUAAUUAAUCAAAAUUGAACACUUUUUUUAUGAUCUUUCCUAUGACUUUCAUAUUUUACGAAACUUUCACAAUCUUUAUUUUCUUUACAUUUCAUUAAUAUUAUAAUUUUUCUUCUUUUAUUUCUUCAUAACAUAUGACUGAUUCACGAUUGACUGUCUAUUUAUUAAUUAUCUAUCUAUUUGAAAAUAAUGUUCUUUUAAAUUUUCUUUUUUUUUUUUUUUUCCUAUUAUUAAUCGACGAGUCGGUAGAUGCCAUCAAUAUCAGUAAAUACAGCUCUCCUAUUUCCAAUUACUAAUUAAUACACAAUUUAUAUGAUAAUGCAACGAUCGAGAAGAACAAUCGCCAUAGUUGUUCUCCCCUUUUCUAUCUAUUCUACAUUCAAUUAUUAGUCUUUUCUUUUUUAACAAUCGAUAAAACACCACAAUAACUUUAAUAUUAUCAACAUUGAUUCAUUCAUAUUACAAGAUGUAAUUAUUUAUAUAUUGACGAUAUGUUAAAAUUUUUGUCAUUCUCUUUUUGAUCGUUAAUCAAAUACCGAUUACGGAAAUCUAAAUUCAAAUCUCAAUUAGCAAAUUUACCCGGGAAGAGUUAAUAACAUGUAACGUUGGUAACCACUUUUCGACAUAUUCCUCGGUCGGUAAACGACAUUGUCGUUCCGCGUGAUAAUAAAUCAGGCCCCCGGUCAUCAUUUAUAGCCGUUAGUUAACGACACGAGAACUACAAUUAUUUUAAUGGUCCUGUCUACCGGCUGGGAAUUCCAUCUGGUUUUAACAUCGAUACUCAUGACAUCGACGAGAUGGCCGGAUCCCAUCGAUAAUCUCGCAGUUAGAUGGAAUUUAUUGAUAAAACGCUUAUGUGCGUAUAUUGGCGCCCUCAGCGCACACCGGAUCGGUAAGUUGUUUCAACGAUACACGUGUAUAUUUCGUGUUACGAAUCAUCUGUGUGCCACAUACUGUAGAAUCGCCAUGAUUGCAAUAUGCAUACUAUAUGUAUAUACAGGUAUAGUACGAUGCGUUUGCAUUAAAACGAUCGUGACACGCUUCAAACGUUUCUGGUGAUCGAUGCUUGCAGACCAUCUAAUUUACACGCAUGCAACAAGGUAAUAGAAGCUUGUCAAUAUUGUCGCGGUUUACGAGACGAACUUUACGUUUGAAGUUAACAAUUUAGAAUUAAAGGAAUUGUGUACAUAUUGAAGUGUUAUGAGAAUUAUAGAUUGAAAUAUCAUUUAAUUGUAAUAGUGAAUAAAUAUGCAAGAUUAUGUAUAUAAACGUAAUUGCUUAGAAAAAGAUUAUUUAUAGUUUUGUACUAUAAGUGAAAAAAAAUUUUUCUUCUCAAAAAGAUUUAUUAUUUAAUGUAUAUAAAGACAUUUUUAUUCAUUUGGAUUCAAUUUGUUUCUUCAUUUCCUUUUUAUUUGCUCAUAUAAAAUUAUAUUUGUUGUUUAAUAUUUUGUUUGAUAUUAACGUUUGUUAUAAAAUAUGUUUUUCUUGUAUUUCUUAGUAUUUAUUAGUAUUUAUUAGUUUUGCAAAAUUUUAAAAAAUAAUUGUAUAUUAAUACAAUUAGUGAAAUUGUAUUUAUAAUUAUUUUAACGUUAUUAAUUGAUAUUAUAUAAUUUUCCAGAAUCUUUUAUUUAAAAAUAUCCUAUAUUUAUAAUUUUAGUAACAAAAAUCAUUAUUUUCAAAAGAAUAGUAUGUAAAAAAAUGAACACCAGAGCAAAAAAGAAAAGUGCACGAAAAGUAAUAGUCGUUUUGUAUGAGCAUGAUAAAAGCUUACUAGUAUUAUGAAACAUAGGAACGUAUCAUCGCUUAGAAAAAAGAAUAGUACAAUCGUCCUAGUACGUUACUUCUACUUCACCAAGAGACUAUGUAUAUUAAAGCCACAACGCCUAUAUGUAUGUAGGAUGACCUAUUUUAGUCUUUAAUGAACCUUUCUCUACAAGUGUAUCGAACGAAAAAAGGAGAAUUUCAAAGAGAACUUCAAAAAGCUUUAAAAAUGAAUAUAUGAAUUAAAUAUUCCUAUACUUAAAUACUUCUGUAAUUAUAUUUUUUUUUCUUCAAUUUUUUUAUCAUUUUAUAUUAUGUACUAACCGUAUAAUUAGCAAGUAAUAAACUUUUUAUCAUAAAAAAAUAUUAAUUUAAUAGAUAGUUAAGGAAAAAAUUUUUUACACCAGAAAAAUAAUACUGAAAAUAAAAUUUCUAUGAUCUAGUAAAAUCCCUACAAUCUUACUCCCUAGAGUAAAACAAUUCCCCACUCUUUCGUUAAAACUGUGUCACGUGGUAUCCAUUAGUUCCAAUCGCGACGCGUCGAUUACUUGGCGUCUUGUGUUCAUGGCGAAGCCUGAAAGAAGUCUUGGGAGGAAGCCGUUGCAAGCCACCCUAAAGAAGAAGUAUAACUUCUACGAACAAUAGCCGGUCGUUAUCUUGACCGGCGCUUCACCGCACGCAUUGUACUCGCGCUGUAUCCUUUCCGUGAACACGAUCGCAACAAUGCACUGCCAUUGACUCUCUUUCACUGGAUCGUUGGAUCAGAAUGUGCAAGAAAGAAGAAGCAGAUAGAAAGUUUCUGAGUUAAACAAUUAUUAUUAUAUUUGAAAAUUUAAUAAUCACAUUCCAAAACAAAAAUAACAAUAAAAAUAUUAAUAACCUCCACUUACCAUCCAUCAUGUGUCGAAGUACUUAGAUGUUAAUCUUCUGGAAAAAUAUUUGCCCAAGAAGAGGAGUGUGGCCGUAAUAAAAAGCGGCGCAUAGAUGCAUCCCUGCACAGCAGUAAAGACGCCGGGCGAGACAUCCAACGAGGGAGCAGCAAACCGUUCGGAAUAUUUCGUUUCUGGCGGAAGCGUGUCGGUGUUAUCUCCGCCUCUGGCGUCAGUCGGAGCCCAGCCACGUUCGACUCGUGGCGACUUUCGUCUGAAUAAUUUCUGGUAUCUCAUUGACCCAUCUUAAGAACGCACGUAGAAGAAGCGGGUUUCGAGCUACAGCUUUGUGGCGCCUUCGCGAUUAGAAAAAUUAAGAAACCAAAGAAGGUGGAUUAAGGAUCGCGCAUAUAUUCGAGAUAAUUUUGUGUGCUGCGAAAUAUUUAGAAUGGCUAUAAAAAUUGAUGGUUGUAUAAUCAUAGUUAAAUCUAAAAUCAUCUGAAAAUCGAUAAUAUUGUGUUAGAUCAUUGAAUUUGUCUUUUUGAUGUUAGCCGUUGAUUAUAAGAAAAUAGAGGAUAUCGUUGAACUUGGAUAUAUUUAGUUAUUGUAUAUUGUGGAAUUCUUAAUCCCAAUAUAAUAUUUCUGGUAUUUUAAUAUUUGAUAUGAUGAUAAAACAUAGAAUUUCAUUUCGUAAUUUUAAAAAUAUAUUUGAAGUAAUUAAAUAAUAUAAAUAAUAAAGACACUGAAUUUACAUGUCUAAAGAUGAUAUUUAUUUUUAUUUAUUACGUGUAGAGAAAAAUGCACUUUAUAACUGCAUGUAACUCUGAAAUAUAUGUUGCAGCACGUGAUUAAUCAAAAUUAUGAACGAUAUAUCUAGUUAGCGUAUUCUACUUUUGAAAAAGAUUACUAAAAUACAAAAAUGAGUACUUGAAAAUAAGGUCAAGCAGUAUAUGUUCAUAUGAACUUUUAUUUUAUUGUUCCUGCAUUUAGAAUGCAGUUAUUAUCUAGCUUAUAUGUAUUACAGUAAAUAUUUGCAUCAAAAUAUAAAUCAUGAUAAAUUAUAUGUAUAUAGGUAUCAUAAUAACAAAGUACAAUAGCAAAAUUUCCAUUUAGUUUAUUGAUGUUUUUUGAUAAAAUAUGUAUCGGUAUAGAAAAAUGGCAAAAAUAAUGCACUUUUUUGAAAAUAAUGAAUUAUAAAAAAGAAUUUGUAGAAUUAUUUAUUUUAUUAUUUUUAAAAUUUGUAGAAUUUGUAGAAUUAUAAAAAAUUUCAAAAGAAAUGUCAGGCAAUCAAGAUUUCCUAUAAAUCAACAAAAUUUUAAAAAGUGAAAAUAUGGAUUUUAAUAGUUCAAAGUUUUUUCCUAACUUCUUAUAUAUAUAUAUAUAAGAAAAAAAUAAAGAAUUUAAUUCAGAGUUAUCGUCAUUUAUAAGAUUAUAUAAUUAAUGCAUUCCAAAAAGAAUAAAAUCAAUCUUGAGAUUCCAAUUAUCUAAAAAAAAAGUAUAAAAGAUCAAGAAAUCUUAUUUUAAUUUUCAUUACAUUUCAUUUUAAUUUACCUAGAAACAAAAAGCACAUACUAAAUCUCAAUAAAAAGAUUUUAUUUUUCCAGUUACGUCAACAAAGCUUCGUGACGUAGCACAAGGUCCUCAGCAAUAACUUCCAUCCGAGGUUCAAUCGAUAAAGCCUCCCAUUUCGGUCAAGCCGAAAACACGAACCAGUUUCCCGGAAUCUCAAACUUCUCUCUCUCUACUCUCUCUUUCUCUACUAUUAUACCACUACUACUAUUACUAUUAAUAUUAUUAUUAGUACUACUAUUUCUUUUCACAAAAUUUCUUAAAAAUACUAAUAAUUUAUAUACAUUUUAUUUUAUUAUAUGUAUAUAUAUAUAUUUCAAAUCAGGAAUUUUUUUCUUUUUUUACAUGUUAUGUCUUUUGCAACAUGCUGGGAGAAAAUAUAAUAAUAUAACACUAUGACGAUACAGUAGAAACGAUGAUGAUGAAAAAAAAGGAAAAAGAAAGAAUGUAACACACGACGAAUAUCGUAUGAAAUUAUAAUUGUAUUCAAAGGCGGAGGCGCUGUUGCCUUUCAUUUGUUAAGCAAGUCGCGCAUUGACGUCACAUAUGCGAGCUACAGAAAAUUAUAGAAAAGUCGACUUCCAUGAAAAACUCGUACAUUUUAUUUUAAAAUUAUGUUGAUCAUUAGAAAUUAAUUUAUUAUCGGUUUUAACUCUUAAUCGUAAGUAUCAUUGGAUUAUAGAUAACCAUGAUAGUUUAAAGACAGUUUAAAUUUUAUAUUGGGUUAAUUUUAAUGUUAUUUUAUUAUUAUAAUUUUAAUUUAUAUUUUAUAUCAUAUAUAUUAAAUUAUAUCGAUGAUAUAAUAUAUGAUAUGUUUAUAUAUAAAUUAUAUAAUUUAUUAUUUGAGAAUAUUUUUGUUAUGAAUUAUAGAACGAAUUAAAAAAUAUUAAUCAAAUAUCAGAGAAUAUCUGUUUUUAGUUAUGAUUUUUAAUAUGAACAUGAUUAAGUCAUUUAUUAAUUAUAAUUAUAAAGAUAUACCGACAUUUUUUUUUCAUGAAAAUAUUUAAAUUGCAAGCAAUUAGUUCUGACAGAUGUUCCUACUAUAAAUAACGUCAAGGAUGAAGAUGCUAUUUGGCAAGUAAUCGAUUUUUUCGUUGCACAAUUUAAAAUUUUUUUUAUUUUUAAAAAUUUUAUUUUCGAUGACAUAUCGAUAACUCCAUUUCAAAAUGUUAUUUUAAAAUUAAAUCUUCGUUAAAAAAACUUUUAAAGAUCUCGUUAUUUAUACAACUUGUAUAAAUUGCACUUACUAUGAUGAAAUUUUAAUUAAUAUCUGAUGGAUUGAAUUUCAAUCGAUUGAAUCCACUUUAUCUGAAUAUGAAUCCUAUCCUUAUCCUAUUAUUUAAAUGAGAAAUCAUAAAUAGUGAAAAAAUUUAUAAUCUCUUAUAUGAAUUCCAAUUAUAUGUAUAAUAUAUUUAUCACAUAAAGAAACUCCAUUUAUGAUGGUACGUUUACUUUAUUAACUAAACUUUUGUUGAUUCAAUUCAUUUAUUAACUAAUUGAAUGAAAAAACAUAAGAAAUAUGAAGAAUGAAUUGAAAUAAAUAGAACUCUAAACUAUUUAUUUCUAUUUGGAUUAUUAUAUAUAUUAUAUAUAAUUAGAAUUUGAAUCUAUUGAAAACUAAGAGAUAUACAAAAUAAGCUAUCUAUAUUUUAUUCAAAAUAUUUACUCAAAAUAUUUUAUUCAAGAUUAGGAACAUAAAAAAAUUUAUAUAUAAAUAAAUUAAAUAUGCCAAAUGAUUGAUGCUAAUUUUAAAGUAUAUUAUAUUAUAAAAUAUAAUAAUUUCUAGUAUAUUUUUAAAAUUAUUCAAUUGUUCUCAUAAAAUGAUAUUUCUUAACGUGGAUGCAAAAUAAUUUGUAGAAUAUAAUUACUGCUGUCAUUUUCAUUUAAUGACUUUCAAUGCUUAUUUAUUUUAAUACAAUUGCAUAAUCAUAUUCCAUGGCAGUACCAGAUGUCUCGUUAUUUCAAAAAAAACAGUAUCGCUAAUCAUUUUGCGAUAAUAAAGUCAUGUAAAAUAUUAAGUUUUUAAAUUUUUUUUAAUAAAGAAAAUAGGAGGUUGCAAAUUAUUCGAACAUCACAAAGGAGGUCGCAACUUAAAAAAUGAUUGGAGAAUGCAGACAUAGAGGGAUGAUGAUGCACAGUAGCAGCCGCCGCUUGACUCUCCCGCUCUGUCUCACUCGGAAGUCCCGAUGGUAUCGACAUACAUUCAUGGAACCUGGCUCGUAUUUUUCGACGAGCUUCUUUGACGGACGCAUACAACGCUUUCAGGCGAAGGGCGAGCACGGUCGCGCGCACCCGUUCCAAAUCUAGGUCAUACUCUAUGCAUAUGCACAUAAAUGCACUGGAAUGCCCCAAUGACCCAGUUUACGAAUCCUGACGUAGUUAUAUCGUAGCCUCGAUCCUAUGACGUGCACUCUCCCCAAAUCAAGGUAAACUUCCCCCGAUACACGCUUUUAUUCGCUAUUAGACCAUUUGUCUCAUUCUUCUUUGUUUCCUGUUUGUCGAAUAGCAGUCCUUGGUGAUCUCGCCGCCGAGAGAGGAUCAUCUUAACGAAUGUUACUAGAUUAGAUGCAAAAUCGGAAUGAUUUUGAUGUGAAGAAUUAUUAUUGAGUGAAAAUUAUUCUGGAAGAAAAUAGAAUUUAUUAAAGAUUGAUCUUUAAUUUUAUUUUUAAGAAUAAAUCAGAUUCAAUGGGAAUUAGAAAGAUCUUCGAUAUUUUUUUAAUAUUAUCCACAAUAAACGAUAAAUCAUUUAUUAAUGAAAAUUUUCAUUAUAAAUAUUGAAAUUAUUUUGCAAUCUUUUUGAGGAUCAUAAUUCACAGAUUGCAAGGCUAUGCUUUAAAAAAUGAUCAAUUAUAAAAAUUAUAAAACAAAUUUCUUAUAAAAUAUCCAAAUCGAUAAUUUAUUUUUCUCUUUUUUCCAUCAAAAAUGGAAUCGAUUAGGAAACCGAUCGAAAUAAUUAUAUAUUUUUCUAUUCUAUUCACACUAUGUGUACAACUUGUUAACGACUACACCACUAUUUCCGCGUGAAACGCCCUCUUUCUCCAGAGUAUUUACGUAAUGACGCGGUGACCUGUUUCAGCCGGCGCUUAAGUAUGUAAAUUGCGCGGAAUUACUAUUGUGUCGGCUGUGUUAAGCUUCUUAUUCAAAUUGUUGCUUUUAAUCUUUUCCCGGUGGCCGAUCUAACACGUUUCGGAACAAAACGUUGUCUCGAUUAAGUUCCUUGUAAGCUAAAACCCGUUUUCCAUUCUUCUCAUAUCUGACAUCUGGAUUUGUCUUUUACGCCUCAUAAAGUUAUAGUAGGAUUUAUAGCAACGACUAUAGCAUAUACAUUCUGACUAUGUAUAUUCGAAUUGUAUCUUUGAAUUAAGAAAUCAUUUCUUAAACUAAGAAUGCAUACUUUGAUAUUUUUUUAAGAGGAAUUAUUAAUUGUUUUCUAUGUCAAAUAUUUUUAAGCUCUAUUUUGUUUAAAACACAAAUCAAUUGAUGAAAUUUGUAUAUUUUUUAUAAUAUAUUAAUCUGAAAUGGUUAACGAACUUGAGAGCGAUCAGAGGAAGAGUAAUCAGAGCUCUUGAGCCUUGAAAGACGACGUGUCAGCAUUAAGAUGGCAACAUCGCAGCAUUGUCCGUGAGAUAUACACGGUGAAAAACGAUAUCUGAACUUAGUGAGCGAAAUAGUGUCGCCUACAUAGUGCGACACAAGAGCAGCUCAUUCUUCCAUGGACAUUUUACACUCCAGUUUUGAGUGCAACGCUUCGCACGAGUGCAACUCUGACCUAGAAUUUUAAAGACUUAUUUCUUACAUUCGCUACUUUAACGUGACCAUAAUAAACCAUAACCUUCGUGCACCGGAUUCUAAAAUGACAAAGCAAGUUUGCCAUGAAUCAGUUUCAUUACCUUGGAAUUAUUAUAAGUUUGCUACACAAAAGUAAUUAAUUAAAGAUUCCACUAUAAGAUUUUUUCAGUCUUCAUUGAUCUAUUUAGAAUAAUUCUUAAAAAAGUGAAUGAUUAUAUUCAUUAUAACUAUCUUAUUGGUUGAAUAUAUAAGAAUAUAUCCAUAGCAUAUUGAAAGAUAUAUUUUGUGGAGUUCUUUUUUUUUUCUUUAAAUGAUUUAAUAAUUAUUUUUAAUAUUCUAUAAUUAAUAUCUAUAAUUCUAUCUAUAAUCUAUAAUUCUAUAAUUAAAUUAAUUCUUUUAGAAUUGAUUUAAUCAUUUAAAAAAGAAAUCAAAUUACAAAUCAUUUUUUUAUAAUGAUAAAUAAAUAUUUAUUUUUUAUUUUUGAUAUAUCAUCAUCAUGUAAGCCUAGAAUUAUUUUUUCUCUUAUCAGGGAGAUAAUUCAAUUAGGAUUAUUUCAUAUAUAUUUUCUUAAUAGAUGAACAUCCUAAUGGAUUCAUUACGCCUUGUGUUAUAAUUAAUCUAGUAAGACAUGAAAAAUAUACAAGUGUUUUGAAAGUGACUUUGAGCAGAUGUUGAAUGAAAAAAAGAAUUAUUGGUAUUAGUUUACCUUCAAUUCUCAGACCUCCAGUGUUUUUUCACUAAGAAGAAAGACUGAAAUAUGAGCUUCUGCUCUAGGCGAGCUAUCCCUUGACUAAUAGGGUGAUCCUUUACAUGAUGGAAGCCGAAAUACAUUUGUUAGACAAUAAAGAAAAUUUUUGUAAUCUUAACAAACCAAUAUAUAUUCAUUUUGGAUAAAUCAAUAGUUAUACUUUCUUUUAAUAGUACCUUUAAUGAUAAAUUAAAUUUAAUAUCUUACAUUUUAAAAGAAAAAUAAUAUUAUAAAUAUUUUAAAAAGAUAUACCAAAAUUUUAUAUUUCAAAUAUAGUUAUAUAUAGUUAUAAUAAUAAUAAAGUUAAUAGUUGAAUAUAAAAUUCAAAUGAAAUUUAAAAUAAUUAAAAAUUUCAAGACAAGAAAUAUGAUACUACGUCAGAAACAUUGUAUCUUCUAACCUCAAUUUUUAAAAAAAGAUUUAACGCUUUUAAAAAGCGUAAUAAUUGAAAGACAUUCUGAUAAAUUAUAAAAUUAAAGAAACAUUAUUUUCAAUAAUGAAUUACCAACUUGAAUUCACGAUUUUUCUUUUUUUUUUCUCAUCAUUUCGCAUCUUGUUCUUGUUGCGACAAAUGCUUUUCACUGAGGCAAAUGGAAAAAAUAUAACGAAGCGCGCGCAGCCUAGUGCUCUGUUCGUUACAUUCGCUUAACGAGUGCUUUAACACUCGAACUGUAUAACGAGUACACUUAACCUAUCUGCAUUGAUAAACGUGUCGUUAGAUUUUUGCAACCUUGAUCCUAAUCAAACGGAUCGCGAUAUUAGCGUCUAAAUUGCAUAGGAAUUCUAUUGAAAAUAAUAUUUCAAAGUGUAUUCAAAGUAUACCGAAUCUUGUACCGAAACGUUUAACCUGGAUACUUUAGGAAAAAAAAAAGAAAAAUCGUUACGUGUAUCACAAAGCUCGGAGAAAAUAUUUCUAUCAUGCCCUCGUUGUCUAUUUCGAGCCAUUUCUCUCGCUUCUGUCUUUUUUCACCUUUUUUUUUUUAAAUAAAAUCUGAAUUUCACAUCAUGUACUACGGAUGUGAUAUUUUUGACACAUUUACCAUACUCUCUCGAAUACCUCGUAUAUAUUACCGAUAAAAACGGAACCAGAUGUAUCGACCGUAUAUUAUAAAACUUUUUUUUCACAUUGAACAAGAGACACGAGAAUUACGAGUGAUUCCCAGUCAUUUCAAUCUCUACGUAUUUAUUUUUCAAAAUUCCAAAAAGAUUGAAGAUUGGACAGGCGAAAAAAGUUAUUGACUUGUUGGUUUUCGUUAGAUUUUACUUGUUUCGUGCACCGGUAAGUCGAAUCGACAUGAAAUGGAUAGAGUGGACAUUCGUUGCGCUUGACACGGUGAAAUGCAUUUCCAACGUGCGAAUAAUUUUUAGAAGAGCACGUAUUGUGCUACUGCGUUUAAAGUGAAACUGAAUACGCUUGGCGUCGAAAUAGAGAGAUUUAUAAAAUUGAAAGCUUGCAAAUUGUAGAGUAUAUAAAGUUUCCUAAAAAUAAUCUUCUUGAAAACUUAUAAAAAAUUUUAUUGCAAGAAAAAUUUUAAUGAUUAUUAAUUAAAAUAAGAAUAAAUCCAAAUGAAGAAAAUGAAAAAACAUGGAAAAAUAAAAUUAUAAUAAAGUUUCGAUUAAAAUCUAAAAAAUCUGAAUAUUUUACUUGAAUCGAAUUAUUCAUUCAUAUAAUUCACAAAUUCAUAUGGAAUUUAUUCAUAACCUCAAAAAGUCAGUUUCAUCGAUAAAGGAAAUCGUAAACCCUAGAUUCCACUAACCGAUUGAAUGCUGAUCGGAAAAUGGGUGAGAGUUUUCGAUUGUUAGGCUUUCUGAUUUCAAAUUCAACUUAUACAAACAGAACCCGGUUUCCGCGAUAGCAAGAGCAGCCGUUUAGAAUCGGUGCUCGCAACACGAUGCAUAAUACAAAUUGGUGUUCUCGCAACGAUCGAUAGUCCAUGUUCGAUUGUUCUCUCGGGAGCAGUUGCACGUUGUUAUUACAAGUGACGCCACGAGCAAUGUGUUGUACUAUUGUGGUACCUUUAAUUACUAACGAAAUUGGUUUAAGUUUCGAACAUUUAUGCAGCAACGUAUCUCACAAAAAGAACAAAUGAAAAGAAAUUUAUCAAUUACACGCGAUUUCUCGACACCAGUGGAAAGCCCCAUUCUCCCAUUCUAUCGAGAAAAAGGAAAUAAGUCGCUAUUCUUCAGUCACGAUAAUUAGCCAAAGGAAAAGAAAACGACGAAGAAAAAGAAAAAGAGAACGAAGUGUUGGAGGCAAGCUGUUCGCUUCACUCGGCUUUCUUUCAAAGUUCCGAAACUCAUCGUGCAAAUAAAGGAAAGGGCCAUGUCGAGGACGAAGGCCACCGUUACACAUUCAUCUUUUAAAGCGGCACUUUUCAAAGCAUCACUUUACGAACCACCCAACUGCGUUACAGGAGAGAAAGCUCAUUCCCUACAUAGUGUCGCGAAACGCCUCUUUUAUCCCUCUUUGCAUUGCGUCCGUGACGACCACCGACUACACGUGUACUCGUCAAUAUUUUCCCUUUUUAUUAUUAAUCUGUCUCGUUCGCCCUCACUGGUUCGUCUUUUCUUAACAUAAUUUAUAUACAGAAUGUAUUUUAUGAUAUGCGUCACAUUAUUGUAAUAUGGGAAUUUUAUUUAUUAAAUAAGAAGGAAUUAAGAAUUUAAGGACAUUGUAACUGUCUUCCGAUUGAUUUUUUGAUUGAAGAGAAUUUAAAUUCUGUUCGUUCUCAUUUUUUUUCUUUAAGUAAAUAUAUGUCUUAAUAUACAUAUAUGAGAUACUUUUGGAGGAUCGAUUCUGGAGGUCAAGGUUAAUAUAUAGAAAUAUCGAUUAAGGGUUAUUUAUUAAGUUAUAAGCAAUUUAAAUUUGCAAUAGAUGAAGCAAGGUAGCGUUGUGAUAAAGAUAAAGCUGUUUCAAUCUAUCUUCGUCUCGUUUAUAACGUAAUAAAUAAUCAAUAUUUUUUUAUAAUAAAAUUUCUAAUAAAUAUGUAAUAAUAAGAAACAUAAAAAAAAACAAACUUUUUGUCAUCUCUGAUGUAAUUUAAAAAUUAAUAUUUUUAUGUAAGUGUCAAAUAAUAUUCCAAACUAUAUACUAAUACUAGAUCAUAUAAUAUCCAACAAAAGAAUAAUUUAUUAAAAACAAAUUUUUUUCAAUAUAAAA
Long non-coding RNA from Apis cerana (Asiatic honeybee), 32399 nucleotides. RefSeq lists it as uncharacterized. Lineage: Eukaryota; Metazoa; Arthropoda; Insecta; Hymenoptera; Apidae. The record is from RefSeq and is a predicted model, not a curated record.